UGGGGAAUUUUGGACAAUGGGCGCAAGCCUGAUCCAGCCAUGCCGCGUGCGGGAAGAAGGCCUUCGGGUUGUAAACCGCUUUUGUCAGGGAAGAAAUCUUCUGAGUUAAUACCUCGGGAGGAUGACGGUACCUGAAGAAUAAGCACCGGCUAACUACGUGCCAGCAGCCGCGGUAAUACGUAGGGUGCAAGCGUUAAUCGGAAUUACUGGGCGUAAAGCGUGCGCAGGCGGUUUUGUAAGACAGAGGUGAAAUCCCCGGGCUCAACCUGGGAACUACCUUUGUGACUGCAAGGCUUGAGUGCGGCAGAGGGGGAUGGAAUUCCGCGUGUAGCAGUGAAAUGCGUAGAUAUGCGGAGGAACACCGAUGGCGAAGGCAAUCCCCUGGGCCUGCACUGACGCUCAUGCACGAAAGCGUGGGGAGCAAACAGGAUUAGAUACCCUGGUAGUCCACGCCCUAAACGAUGUCAACUGGUUGUUGGGAAGGUUCCUUCUCAGUAACGUAGCUAACGCGUGAAGUUGACCGCCUGGGGAGUACGGCCGCAAGGUUGAAACUUAAAUGAAUUGACGGGGUCA
This 573-nucleotide ribosomal RNA is filed under the name uncultured bacterium. Its description in RNAcentral is "partial 16S ribosomal RNA". It matches the Rfam family "Bacterial small subunit ribosomal RNA", at positions 355 to 921 of the family's 1533-position model. The record is from RNAcentral.